This 995-nucleotide ribosomal RNA is filed under the name uncultured bacterium. Its description in RNAcentral is "bacterial SSU rRNA". It matches the Rfam family "Bacterial small subunit ribosomal RNA", at positions 64 to 1046 of the family's 1533-position model. The record is from RNAcentral.
GAGCGCGAAAGCACCUUCGGGUGUGAGUAGAGCGGCGGACGGGUGAGUAACGCGUAGGAAUCUACCCAGUAGUGGGGGACAACAGUCGGAAACGGCUGCUAAUACCGCAUACGCCCUACGGGGGAAAGCGGGGGCUCUUCGGACCUCGCGCUAUUGGAUGAGCCUGCGUUGGAUUAGCUAGUUGGUGGGGUAAAGGCCCACCAAGGCGACGAUCCAUAGCUGGUCUGAGAGGAUGAUCAGCCACACUGGAACUAAGACACGGUCCAGACUCCUACGGGAGGCAGCAGUGGGGAAUAUUGCGCAAUGGGCGAAAGCCUGACGCAGCCAUGCCGCGUGUGUGAAGAAGGCCUUAGGGUUGUAAAGCACUUUCAAUAGGGAGAAAAGGCUCAUCGUUAAUAGCGUUGGGAGUUGAUGUUACCUAUAGAAGAAGCACCGGCUAACUCCGUGCCAGCAGCCGCGGUAAUACGGAGGGUGCGAGCGUUAAUCGGAAUUACUGGGCGUAAAGCGCGCGUAGGCGGUUUGUUAAGUCGGAUGUGAAAUCCCUGGGCUCAACCUGGGAACUGCACCCGAUACUGGCGAACUAGAGUACGAGAGAGGGAGGUAGAAUUCCACGUGUAGCGGUGAAAUGCGUAGAUAUGUGGAGGAAUACCGGUGGCGAAGGCGGCCUCCUGGCUCGAUACUGACGCUCAGGUGCGAAAGCGUGGGGGAGCAAACAGGAUUAGAUACCCUGGUAGUCCACGCCGUAAACGAUGUCUACUAGCCGUUGGGAGACUUGAUUUCUUAGUGGCGCAGCUAACGCACUAAGUAGACCCCCCUGGGGGAGUACGGCCCGCAAGGUUAAAACUCAAAUGAAUUGACGGGGGCCCCGCCCCAAGCGGUGGGAGCAUGUGGUUUAAUUCGAUGCAACGCGAAGAACCUUACCCAGGCCUUGACAUCCUGCGAACCCUUUAGAGAUAGAGGGGUGCCCUUCGGGAGCGCAGUGACAGGUGCUGCAU